UGCUUGCAAGAAUAGAGCGCAGAAAGGGA
RNAcentral lists this non-coding RNA (29 nucleotides) under Mus musculus (house mouse). The record is from RNAcentral. Lineage: Eukaryota; Metazoa; Chordata; Mammalia; Rodentia; Muridae.